GACGAACGCUGGCGGCGUGCCUAAUACAUGCAAGUAGAACGCUGAAGCUUGGUGCUUGCACCGAGCGGAUGAGUUGCGAACGGGUGAGUAACGCGUAGGUAACCUGCCUGGUAGCGGGGGAUAACUAUUGGAAACGAUAGCUAAUACCGCAUAAUAGUAGAUGUUGCAUGACAUUUGCUUAAAAGGUGCAAUUGCAUCACUACCAGAUGGACCUGCGUUGUAUUAGCUAGUUGGUGAGGUAACGGCUCACCAAGGCAACGAUACAUAGCCGACCUGAGAGGGUGAUCGGCCACACUGGAACUGAGACACGGCCCAGACUCCUACGGGAGGCAGCAGUAGGGAAUCUUCGGCAAUGGACGGAAGUCUGACCGAGCAACGCCGCGUGAGUGAAGAAGGUUUUCGGAUCGUAAAGCUCUGUUGUAAGAGAAGAACGAGUGUGAGAGUGGAAAGUUCACACUGUGACGGUAUCUUACCAGAAAGGGACGGCUAACUACGUG
Molecule: ribosomal RNA, 497 nt
Filed under: uncultured bacterium
Lineage: Bacteria
Description: partial 16S ribosomal RNA
Rfam family: Bacterial small subunit ribosomal RNA
Source: RNAcentral